AGAGUUAAAUAGUACGUGAAAUUGUUGAAAGGGAAACGAUUGAAGCCAGUCGUACCUGCGGGUAAUCAGCCUUUUGGGUGUGAUUAUGUGGAGCGUGUGGAGUUUAAUCACCCUCAUCUUUGCAUAUUCGUGCACUUUGGGUGUACUUGCUCGUGUGGUAGGUUAACAUCAAUUUUGAUCAUCAUAAAAUGAUUAGAGGAAUGUAGCUUCGAUCUCGUAUUGAAGUGUUAUAGCCUUUGGUAGAUGUGAUGAUUGGGAUUGAGGAUUGCAACGGAUACCCUUUGGGCUACCUGUCUGAUCUCUGAAAGUUGCUCUGGUGCUGAAAGCUUGCUUAUGGUAUCAAAGUUGACGUUCAAUAGGUUAGAACGGGAUAAAUUCGUUAAGGAUGUUGACGUAAUGGCUUUAAACGA
RNAcentral lists this unclassified non-coding RNA (410 nucleotides) under uncultured Glomeromycotina. RNAcentral describes it as "sequence contains 28S rRNA gene". Lineage: Eukaryota; Fungi; Glomeromycota. The record is from RNAcentral.